ACGACGCAUGGCGGCGUGCCUAAUACAUGCAAGUCGAGCGAACAGAAGGGAGCUUGCUCCCGGAUGUUAGCGGCGGACGGGUGAGUAACACGUGGGUAACCUGCCUGUAAGACUGGGAUAACUCCGGGAAACCGGAGCUAAUACCGGAUAGUUCCUUGAACCGCAUGGUUCAAGGAUGAAAGACGGUUUCGGCUGUCACUUACAGAUGGACCCGCGGCGCAUUAGCUAGUUGGUGGGGUAAUGGCUCACCAAGGCGACGAUGCGUAGCCGACCUGAGAGGGUGAUCGGCCACACUGGGACUGAGACACGGCCCAGACUCCUACGGGAGGCAGCAGUAGGGAAUCUUCCGCAAUGGACGAAAGUCUGACGGAGC
Molecule: ribosomal RNA, 373 nt
Filed under: uncultured Bacillus sp.
Lineage: Bacteria; Bacillati; Bacillota; Bacilli; Caryophanales; Bacillaceae
Description: bacterial SSU rRNA
Rfam family: Bacterial small subunit ribosomal RNA
Source: RNAcentral